UAUUGCACAAUGGGCGAAAGCCUGAUGCAGCGACGCCGCGUGANGGAUGACGGCCUUCGGGUUGUAAHCUCUUUCAGUAGGGAAGAAGCGAAAGUGACGGUACCUGCAGAAGAAGCGCCGGCUAACUACGUGCCAGCAGCCGCGGUAAUACGUAGGGCGCAAGCGUUAUCCGGAAUUAUUGGGCGUAAAGAGCUCGUAGGCGGUUUGUCGCGUCUAUCGUGAAAGUCCGAGGCUCAACCUCGGAUCUGCGGUGGGUACGGGCAGACUAGAGUGAUGUAGGGGAGACUGGAAUUCCUGGUGUAGCGGUGAAAUGCGCAGAUAUCAGGAGGAACACCGAUGGCGAAGGCAGGUCUCUGGGCAUUAACUGACGCUGAGGCGCGAAAGCUAGGGGAGCGAACAGGAUUAGAUACCCUGGUAGUCCUAGCCGUAAACGUUGGGUGCUAGGUGUGGGCGGAUUUCGACCCCGUCCGUGCCGAAGCUAACGCAUUAAGCACCCCGCCUGGGGAGUACGGCCGCAAGGCUA
RNAcentral lists this ribosomal RNA (523 nucleotides) under uncultured bacterium. RNAcentral's name for it is "bacterial SSU rRNA". It matches the Rfam family "Bacterial small subunit ribosomal RNA", at positions 362 to 896 of the family's 1533-position model. The record is from RNAcentral.